GGAAAUGAACAACUCACAAGUUCCAGACAGUACCUGAAACUCAGAAAAUUCAUAGGUAUCGGUCUCAAAGCUAUACAAAGAGUAAUGAAUGUGGGAGAGGACACUGUCCCAGUGUGUGAGUUACCUGAAAGGCUCUAGACAGCUCAACUGAUUAUGAGUCACAGAGAAAGCUCCUAGAAGCAGGAUCUCUGAGGAAUCAACUGUAUUUUGUGGGAUGAUUACUGAUGCUAUUGAUUUCAAGUCAUCCAUGUUGCUAUGCUGAGAGAGGUUGAAGGAACAUCUGUCUCCUUAUCACAGGACUAUCAGCUGGGAACAUCCUACACACCUGCCCCUUCCCUUCCUCCGGGAUGCAGCAGGCCUCAAGCAAGACACCUCAGGCUUACUUCGUGAAUUUUCUAAGACCCAGGGCGUUUUCCUACUCAAUCACAAUGCUCGCACAUAAAGUAAUCAGCACUGAUUAGAAGUCAGGGCACAAUACAAAAUGUUUCCUCAGCGCAACAGC
Molecule: long non-coding RNA, 502 nt
Filed under: Mus pahari (shrew mouse)
Lineage: Eukaryota; Metazoa; Chordata; Mammalia; Rodentia; Muridae
Description: lncRNA (MGP_PahariEiJ_G0005129.1)
Source: RNAcentral